Molecule: ribosomal RNA, 450 nt
Filed under: uncultured bacterium
Lineage: Bacteria
Description: partial 16S ribosomal RNA
Rfam family: Bacterial small subunit ribosomal RNA
Source: RNAcentral
AUGAACGCUGGCGGCGUGCCUAACACAUGCAAGUCGAGCGGCAGCGAGGGGUGCUUGCACCCUGUCGGCGAGCGGCGGACGGCUGAGUAACGCGUGGGAACGUGCCCCAAAGUGAGGAAUAACUGCCCGAAAGGGUAGCUAAUACCGCAUAUUAUCUUCGGAUCAAUGGAUUUAUCCGCUUUGGGAGCGGCUCGCGUCGGAUUAGGUAGUUGGUGAGGUAAUGGCUCACCAAGCCGACGAUCCGUAGCUGGUCUGAGAGGAUGACCAGACAGACUGGAACUGAGACACGGUCCAGACUCCUACGGGAGGCAGCAGUGAGGAAUCUUCCACAAUGGGCGAAAGGAUGAUGGAGCAACGCCGCGUGCAGGACGAAGGCCUUCGGGUUGUAAACUGCUUUUAUAAGUGAGGAAUAUGACGGUAACUUAUGAAUAAGGAUCGGCUAACUACGUG